UUGAAGUCAAACUGUCUAUUGAC
Molecule: non-coding RNA, 23 nt
Filed under: Arabidopsis thaliana (thale cress)
Lineage: Eukaryota; Viridiplantae; Streptophyta; Magnoliopsida; Brassicales; Brassicaceae
Source: RNAcentral